RNAcentral lists this ribosomal RNA (460 nucleotides) under uncultured bacterium. RNAcentral's name for it is "partial 16S ribosomal RNA". It matches the Rfam family "Bacterial small subunit ribosomal RNA", at positions 338 to 795 of the family's 1533-position model. The record is from RNAcentral.
CCUACGGGAGGCAGCAGUGAGGAAUAUUGGUCAAUGGACGCGAGGCUGAACCAGCCAAGUCGCGUGAAGGAUGACUGCCCUAUGGGUUGUAAACCUCUUUUAUCUGGGAAUAAAAUGCUCCACGUGUGGGGUUUUGUAUGUACCAUAUGAAUAAGCAUCGGCUAACUCCGUGCCAGCAGCCGCGGUAAUACGGAGGAUCCGAGCGUUAUCCGGAUUUAUUGGGGUUAAAGGGUGCGCAGGGGGGUAGUUAAGUCAGUUGUGAAAGUUUGGGGCUCAACCAUAGCAUUGCAGUUGAAACUGGCGUUCUUGAGUGCAGGAGAGGUAGGCGGAAUGCGUGGUGUAGCGGUGAAAUGCAUAGAUAUCACGAAGAACUCCGAUUGCGAAGGCAGCACACUGGAGCGCAACUGACGCUCAGGCACGAAAGUGUGGGUAUCAAACAGGAUUAGAUACCCCAGUAGUC